Molecule: ribosomal RNA, 487 nt
Filed under: uncultured bacterium
Lineage: Bacteria
Description: bacterial SSU rRNA
Rfam family: Bacterial small subunit ribosomal RNA
Source: RNAcentral
CCGGGAAGAAAUCGUGGUCUCUAACAUAGGCCAUGGAUGACGGUACCGGACUAAGAAGCACCGGCUAACUACGUGCCAGCAGCCGCGGUAAUACGUAGGGUGCGAGCGUUAAUCGGAAUUACUGGGCGUAAAGCGUGCGCAGGCGGUUUUGUAAGACAGAUGUGAAAUCCCCGGGCUUAACCUGGGAACUGCGUUUGUGACUGCAAGGCUAGAGUACGGCAGAGGGGGGUGGAAUUCCUGGUGUAGCAGUGAAAUGCGUAGAGAUCAGGAGGAACACCGAUGGCGAAGGCAGCCCCCUGGGCCUGUACUGACGCUCAUGCACGAAAGCGUGGGGAGCAAACAGGAUUAGAUACCCUGGUAGUCCACGCCCUAAACGAUGUCGACUAGUCGUUCGGAGCAGCAAUGCACUGAGUGACGCAGCUAACGCGUGAAGUCGACCGCCUGGGGAGUACGGCCGCAAGGUUAAAACUCAAAGGAAUUGACGGGG